This 254-nucleotide ribosomal RNA is filed under the name uncultured prokaryote. RNAcentral's name for it is "partial 16S ribosomal RNA". It matches the Rfam family "Bacterial small subunit ribosomal RNA", at positions 524 to 777 of the family's 1533-position model. The record is from RNAcentral.
UACGUAGGGUGCGAGCGUUGUACGGAAUUAUUGGGCGUAAAGAGCUUGUAGGCGGUUUGUCGCGUCUGCUGUGAAGAUCCGAGGCUCAACCUCGGACUUGCAGUGGGUACGGGCAGACUAGAGUGUGGUAGGGGAGACUGGAAUUCCUGGUGUAGCGGUGAAAUGCGCAGAUAUCAGGAGGAACACCGAUGGCGAAGGCAGGUCUCUGGGCCACUACUGACGCUGAGAAGCGAAAGCAUGGGUAGCGAACAGGA